CCGAGUUAUACAACUCAUCAACCCUGUGAACAUACCUAUAACGUUGCCUCGGCGGGAACAGACGGCCCCGUAACACGGGCCGCCCCCGCCAGAGGACCCCCUAACUCUGUUUCUAUAAUGUUUCUUCUGAGUAAACAAGCAAAUAGAUUA
This 150-nucleotide unclassified non-coding RNA is filed under the name soil metagenome. RNAcentral's name for it is "partial internal transcribed spacer 1". The record is from RNAcentral.